GUGAGGAAUUUUCCGCAAUGGGCGAAAGCCUGACGGAGCAAUGCCGCGUGAAGGAUAAAGGCCUAUGGGUUGUAAACUUCUUUUCUCAGAAAAGAAUUAUGACGGUAUCUGAGGAAUAAGCAUCGGCUAACUCUGUGCCAGCAGCCGCGGUAAGACAGAGGAUGCAAGCGUUAUCCGGAAUGAUUGGGCGUAAAGCGUCUGUAGGUUGUUUAAAAAGUAUUCUGUCAAAGAUUAGGGCUUAACCCUAGAUAGGCAGAAUAAACUUUUAAGCUAGAGUUUGGUAGAGGCAGAGGGAAUUCCCGGUGGAGCGGUGAAAUGCGUAGAUAUCGGGAGGAACACCAAAGGCGAAGGCACUCUGCUGGGCCAAUACUAACACUGAGAGACGAAAGCGAGGGGAGCAAAUGGGAUUAGAAACCCCAGUAGUCC
Molecule: ribosomal RNA, 426 nt
Filed under: uncultured bacterium
Lineage: Bacteria
Description: partial 16S ribosomal RNA
Rfam family: Bacterial small subunit ribosomal RNA
Source: RNAcentral